AACAGAAAUCAACCGAGAUUCCGGAAGUAGCGGCGAGCGAAACCGGACCAGCCCUUAAGCUUAUUAUGUGUUAGUGGAACAUUCUGGAAAGUUUGACGAUACAGGGUGAUAGUCCCGUACACGAAAAUGCAUCUUAAGUGAAAUCGAGUAGGUCGGAGCACGUGAAACUUUGACUGAAUAUAGGUGGACCAUCAUCUAAGGCUAAAUACUCCCAACUGACCGAUAGUGAACCAGUACCGUGAGGGAAAGGCGAAA
This 255-nucleotide ribosomal RNA is filed under the name Pseudoalteromonas shioyasakiensis. RNAcentral's name for it is "partial 23S ribosomal RNA". It matches the Rfam family "Bacterial large subunit ribosomal RNA", at positions 217 to 519 of the family's 2925-position model. The record is from RNAcentral. Lineage: Bacteria; Pseudomonadati; Pseudomonadota; Gammaproteobacteria; Alteromonadales; Pseudoalteromonadaceae.